This 255-nucleotide unclassified non-coding RNA is filed under the name plant metagenome. RNAcentral's name for it is "partial contains small subunit ribosomal RNA, internal transcribed spacer 1, and 5.8S ribosomal RNA". The stretch from base 1 to 54 matches the Rfam family "Eukaryotic small subunit ribosomal RNA", at positions 1778 to 1831 of the family's 1831-position model. The record is from RNAcentral.
GUAAGUAAAAGUCGUAACAAGGUUUCCGUAGGUGAACCUGCGGAAGGAUCAUUAUUGGAUUUUGAAACUUCAGGCUGCUGCUGGCUCUCCUCGGAGGGCAUGUGCACGCUUGUUGUCCAUUAUUUCUCCCACUGUGCACAAAUUGUUGACCUUUCAGUAGGCCUAUGUUGUUUUUCACAAUCUCUGAAUGUAAUAGAAUGGUUUUGAAUCUUGGGAAAUACAAUACAACUUUCAGCAACGGAUCUCUUGGCUCUC